GCCUGAGCCAGCAGUGGCAACCCGCUCGGGUCCCCUUCCACACUGUGGAAGCUUUGUUCUUUAGCUCUUUGCAAUAAAUCUUGCUGCUGCUCACUCUUUGGGUCCACACUGCCUUUACGAGCUGUAACACUCACCGCGAAGGUCUGCAGCUUCACUCCUGAAGCCAGUGAGACCACGAACCCACCAGGAGGAACAAACAACUCCAGAUGUGCUGCCUUAAGAGCUGUAACACUCACCGCGAAGGUCUGCAGCUUCAGUCCUAAGCCAGCAAGACCACGAACCCACCAGAAGGAAGAAACUCUGAACACAUCCAAACAUCAGAAGGAACAAACUCUGGACAUGCCGCCUUUAAGAACUGUGACACUCACCACGAGGGUCCGUGGCUUCAUUCUUGAAGUCAGUGAGACCAAGAACCCACCAAUUCCAGACACAUUUUGGCAACCACAAAGGGACUAUCACCUAUUGCCAAGCGGUGAGACUAUCGCCAAGUGGUGAGACCAUCGUCUAUCGCUGAGCAGCAAAACAAUCGCCUAUCGCCAAGCAAAUCGAAGCCAUCAAGCUACAGAUGGUCUUACAAAUGGAACCCCAAAUGAGUUCAACUAACAACUUCUACCGAGGACCCCUGGACCGACCCGCUGGCACUUCCACUGGCCUAGAGAGUUCCCCCUUGGAGGACACUACAACUGCAGGGCCCCUUCUUCACUUCUAUCCAGCAGGAAGUAGCUAGAGCAGUCAUCGGCCAAAUUCCCAACAGCAGUUGGGGUGUCCUGUUUAGAGGGGGGAUUGAGAGGUGGCAGUGUGCUGGCAGCCCUCGCAGCCCUCGCUCACUCUUGGCUCCUCCUCGGCCUUGGCGCCCACUCUGGCCAUGCUUAAGGAGCCCUUCAGCCUGCCACUGCACUGUGGGAACACUGGCCAAGGCCAGAGCCAGCUCACUCAGCUUGUGGGGAAGUGUGGAGGGAGAGGCGCAGGCGGGAACUGGGGCUGCAUGCGGCGCUUGCGGGCCAGCGUGAGUUCCGGGUGGUUGUGGGCUUGGCGGGCCCCAGACUCGGAGCGGCUGGCCUGCCCUGCUGGCCCCAGGCAGUGAGGGGCUUAGCACCCAGGCCAGCAGCUGUGGAUGGUGCGCUGAGUCUCCCAGCAGUGCUGGCCCACCCCACCAGCACUGCACUCGAUUUCUCGCCAGGCCUUAGCUGCCUCCCCGCAGGGCAGGCCUUGGGACCUGCAGCCCACCAUGCCUGAGUCUCCCCUGCUGCCGCCGUGGGCUCCUGCGUGGCCCAAGCCUCCCCGACGAGCACUGCCCCCUGCUCCCCGGUGCCUGGUCCCAUCGACCGCCCAAGGGCUGAGGAGUGCAGGUGCAUGGUGCGGGACUGGCAGGCAGCUCCACCUGCGGCCCCAGUGCAGGAAGCCAGCUGGGCUCCUGAGUCUGGUGGGGACUUGGAGAAUUUUUAUGUCUAGCUAAGGGAUUGUAAAUACACCAAUCAGCACUCUGUAUCUAGCUCAAGGAUUGUAAAUACACCAAUCAGCACCCUGUGUCUAGCUCAGGGUUUGUCAAUGCACCAAUCGGCACUCUGUAUCUAGUUAAUCUGGUGGGGAGUUGGAGAAUCUUUAUGUCUAGCUAAGGGAUUGUAAAUACACCAAUCAGCACUCUGUAUCUAGCUCAAG
Molecule: long non-coding RNA, 1659 nt
Filed under: Homo sapiens (human)
Lineage: Eukaryota; Metazoa; Chordata; Mammalia; Primates; Hominidae
Description: non-protein coding lnc-FBXL2-1:1
Source: RNAcentral